GAGGGCCACACGUACACACUGAAAGCACACUAUACAAGACGGGCAUCUACAUUCACACACAACAUACACAAACACGCAGUAGGCGGGGCUCCAGUCGCCCCGCCCCUCCCCUUCCCAAACACAAUCCAAGGGGAAAAGGUCACGAUGUCCGCAGACCUGUGGCAGAACGCGCUUGGAGGCCGGACACGGACGCGGAGGCCAGAGCCCGGGCUAGUCCUCGAGCGGCGCGACGAACUGAAGGAGACAGUACCAGCAAUAAUGAAGAGAUCAGACCCAGCAGAGGAGUUCCUGGCACAGUGAGAUUGGUACCUACAGGGAGCUUCAAGCACAGUCUUCCUACCACCAGUCUCCAUUUCGACGAAUCAGGGACUCGGAACCUCAAUAUUUUCCAAGAGACCUUUAUCCUGAGCUCCCAGGGCUCCCAAUCUAGAUUCUUCUAAUCCUAACUCUCCAGGAUUUCCCAGGAACUCUAAAUCCCCUGUUUUAGGAGUUCCCAUUAAUUUCAGUGCCCCCAAAACUCUCUAGCCCACCUCCAAUCUCAGACUCUCCUGUCCUGACAUCUCAGCCUCCCCCCACUCCACCAAGAACUCAGAUUCAAAAUGAUGACAGCCAAUUCUAAUAGACUUGUGAUGGAAAGUGCCAUCCGUGUCCAGAGAGAAAACUUUGAAGACUGAAUGUGGAUC
Molecule: long non-coding RNA, 683 nt
Organism: Sarcophilus harrisii (Tasmanian devil)
Lineage: Eukaryota; Metazoa; Chordata; Mammalia; Dasyuromorphia; Dasyuridae
Exons: 3
Source: RefSeq, a predicted model, not a curated record